CGAAAUUUACAAUAAAGCCAUUACACUAUAUUUCUUCACCAAAUUAACUCCACUACAACUCACCAACUCCCCCUUUCAUUUCCGUCUACUCUCUGGUUUGGCAAACAAGAAUGGCAAACAAGAAAGAGAUUCAUAUAUCUUUCACCCUUAACAGCAUCCUCUGAAGCAAAUGAUUCGAGUUUGACCAUUUCUUUUGGAUUUAGUUUCACAAACAGAGCUCCAAUUUUCUAGUUGAUAUUCUAAGUGUGUUUAGCCACUUUCCCAGGAAAUCUCCAUAGCACUGCAUGCAUCAACUCCAUUAAUGAUGUUCGUACACUACCUCUCUUUCAAACUUCUAGCAACUUCAGCUCAAAAGCGAAAACAGGGAGGAAAAUGAAAUUAUAGGGAUUUGCCAAACCCAGAAACCACGAUCUACAACUUUGCUCUCUCUAGAAAUGCAAUUCCUCUCUUCCCAUGUUUCGAUAUUGUAAAAUUAUUUCUCUUGUUAAUACUUUGAGAAAUCUGGGCUUGAGAGGGAAGUUGAUGGUGAGAAAGAGAGAGAAAAAGGAAUGUGGAGAAAGAUCGAGAGACUGAAAUGGGAGAGAGAGAGAGAGAGGGAAUGGACUUAGGAAAAUAAAGAGGAAUAACAUGUGAAUGAGCAUAUAGAGGAGCUACGUGAGAGUCUUUAAUCGGAGGGCUGUUAUUUUAGAAGGAGUAGAUGGAUCGGUUUUAAGGUAUUCUCAAUUCAAAAAUACUCAAUUUAAACUAUUUCGUUAUUAUUUAUAGAGUAAUGCUACGAUCAGCCACUGCAUUCUUCUCUCCUCCGAAUCUCCACCGGUGUGGCCGAGCACUCCCCUUCCACUAAUUUGACCGAAAGCUUAGAAAAAAAAACACCUCCCCUGCGUCUGUGGCCAAGCACCACGUUCUCGGCACAAGGACCUGCUUCAAAAAUCAACAAUCUGAACCACAAGUCCCUCCUCCAUCGUCUGGGGCCAAGCACUCCUCUUCCACUCAUCCCCUCUCCCUUUCAUCCCCUUCCACUGAUCGAAAGCUGCCAUUUUUUUGUACUGUUGCAUUUCGUUUCCAAGUAUUUUCACGAGGUCACUGAGCAGAGGAAUACAGAGGGCAUUCAAAAGAAUUCAUGCAAUGAUAUUUGCAGUAUAUUUAUCGUUCCACAAGUGCAAUGUGGGAUAUUUGCACAUAUUAAAGGACAUUUGUUGUGUCGUUUUAGUGGAGAUUGCUUCAAAUGCUUUUGAGAUAGCCUCAUAAAUGCACUGUUCCAUUUAUACU
This is a long non-coding RNA of Juglans regia (Persian walnut), 1269 nucleotides long. RefSeq lists it as uncharacterized. The transcript has 2 exons. The record is from RefSeq and is a predicted model, not a curated record. NCBI's taxonomy places the organism in Eukaryota, Viridiplantae, Streptophyta, Magnoliopsida, Fagales, Juglandaceae.